RNAcentral lists this long non-coding RNA (748 nucleotides) under Cavia porcellus (domestic guinea pig). RNAcentral describes it as "lncRNA (ENSCPOG00000038212.1)". The record is from RNAcentral. Lineage: Eukaryota; Metazoa; Chordata; Mammalia; Rodentia; Caviidae.
CACCGUCCGCAGCCUGCUCGUUUGCGUGGCUGUCCCAGUGAAGGGGACCCCGCGGUCACCCCCCACCCCACCCCCGGUUCCCCGCACAGCGCUCACCGCAGCCUGGGCCAGCGGGUCAGCCUGACCGGCAGGAGCCAGCACCACGACUGCGCCAGGGGACACUGUGUUCUUUGGAUCCGAUACCAAACCAGCCAGGAAGUUCAGUGACCAGCGCUGGACUGCUGCAGAGCUCCAGAGCACCACCUCCUUUCCCACAUCCCUCACAGGGAGGAGAUGAAGAAUAUUUAUUUGGAGAAACAAAGUACCCCACGGCAGCUUCCUCCAAAAUAAAAGGAGUUGGAGGAUGGGGUGGGUGGGAGCUGGGUGUGCUGAGCUCCAGGCUUGGCACCCAAAACAAAAACAAAUGAAAAUUUAGAAAACUCAGGGUUUGUAAGAAAAAUAUUCUUGCUCUGGUAAGCAAGAAGCUGGGGAAUCUGUCUAAUUCAUAGCAGUGACUUCUGAGCUGUCUUCUGAAACACAUUUUGCUUUUUGGAGACUGUUAGAGUGAAAACUUUAGCAAUUCUGUCUAUGCUAUCUUAAAUAUCGCUGUUAAAGAUCUGUGAUUUUAGCCAGGUGUGAUGGUGCACACCUGAAAUCCCAGCACCAUUGGAGGCAGGAAAAUUGCAAGUUCCAGCCCAGCCUGAUCAGUUUAGCAAUUUAGUAAAACCCUGUCUCAAAAUAAAAUAAAAAAAAUUAAAUUCAAACCGGC